UUCGACACACUAUCAUUAACUGAAUCCAUAGGUUAAUGAGGCGAACCGGGGGAACUGAAACAUCUAAGUACCCCGAGGAAAAGAAAUCAACCGAGAUUCCCCCAGUAGCGGCGAGCGAACGGGGAGCAGCCCAGAGCCUGAAUCAGUGUGUGUGUUAGUGGAAGCGUCUGGAAAGGCGCGCGAUACAGGGUGACAGCCCCGUACACAAAAAUGCACAUGCUGUGAGCUCGAUGAGUAGGGCGGGACACGUGGUAUCCUGUCUGAAUAUGGGGGGACCAUCCUCCAAGGCUAAAUACUCCUGACUGACCGAUAGUGAACCAGUACCGUGAGGGAAAGGCGAAAAGAACCCCGGCGAGGGGAGUGAAAAAGAACCUGAAACCGUGUACGUACAAGCAGUGGGAGCACGCUUAGGCGUGUGACUGCGUACCUUUUGUAUAAUGGGUCAGCGACUUAUAUUCUGUAGCAAGGUUAACCGAAUAGGGGAGCCGAAGGGAAACCGAGUCUUAACUGGGCGUUAAGUUGCAGGGUAUAGACCCGAAACCCGGUGAUCUAGCCAUGGGCAGGUUGAAGGUUGGGUAACACUAACUGGAGGACCGAACCGACUAAUGUUGAAAAAUUAGCGGAUGACUUGUGGCUGGGGGUGAAAGGCCAAUCAAACCGGGAGAUAGCUGGUUCUCCCCGAAAGCUAUUUAGGUAGCGCCUCGUGAAUUCAUCUCCGGGGGUAGAGCACUGUUUCGGCAAGGGGGUCAUCCCGACUUACCAACCCGAUGCAAACUG
This 777-nucleotide ribosomal RNA is filed under the name Shigella flexneri. RNAcentral describes it as "partial 23S ribosomal RNA". It matches the Rfam family "Bacterial large subunit ribosomal RNA", at positions 139 to 956 of the family's 2925-position model. Lineage: Bacteria; Pseudomonadati; Pseudomonadota; Gammaproteobacteria; Enterobacterales; Enterobacteriaceae. The record is from RNAcentral.